Long non-coding RNA from Protobothrops mucrosquamatus (brown spotted pit viper), 265 nucleotides. RefSeq lists it as uncharacterized. NCBI's taxonomy places the organism in Eukaryota, Metazoa, Chordata, Lepidosauria, Squamata, Viperidae. The transcript is spliced from 3 exons. The record is from RefSeq and is a predicted model, not a curated record.
CCAUUGCCAGCAGGUGGUGGAGGAUCUAGCAUUGAUGAUGGAUCAAUGUCAGGACUAGCAGCAGCUCUGGCUGGUGCCAAACUAAGAAGAGUGCAACGGCCAGAGGAUGGAUCUGGAGGUUCUAGUCCCAGUGGUGCUUCCAAGAGUGAUGUCAAUCGAACAAGUAGUGGAGGAGGUGGGCUUAUGGAGGAAAUGAAUAAACUAUUAGCAAAAAGGAGAAAAGCAGCAUCCCAGUCAGAUAAGCCAGUGGACAAAAAAGAAGAGG